GCCUGAUCCAGCCAUGCCGCGUGAGUGAUGAAGGCCUUCGGGUUGUAAAGCUCUUUCACCCACGACGAUGAUGACGGUAGUGGGAGAAGAAGCCCCGGCUAACUUCGUGCCAGCAGCCGCGGUAAUACGAAGGGGGCAAGCGUUGUUCGGAAUGACUGGGCGUAAAGGGCGCGUAGGCGGUUCGUUGCGUCAGAUGUGAAAGCCCCGGGCUCAACCUGGGAACUGCAUUUGAUACGGGCGGGCUUGAAUCCAAGAGAGGGUGGUGGAAUUCCCAGUGUAGAGGUGAAAUUCGUAGAUAUUGGGAAGAACACCAGUGGCGAAGGCGGCCACCUGGCUUGGUAUUGACGCUGAGGCGCGAAAGCGUGGGGAGCAAACAGGAUUAGAUACCCCGGUAGU
RNAcentral lists this ribosomal RNA (396 nucleotides) under Inquilinus ginsengisoli. Its description in RNAcentral is "bacterial SSU rRNA". It matches the Rfam family "Bacterial small subunit ribosomal RNA", at positions 381 to 794 of the family's 1533-position model. The record is from RNAcentral. Lineage: Bacteria; Pseudomonadati; Pseudomonadota; Alphaproteobacteria; Rhodospirillales; Rhodospirillaceae.